AGAAAUGAAAGUCAACACCCUUAGGAGUGUGUUGCCUUCCGCAGGUGCUCCAACACUGAGAGGAGAGAAGGCAUUGGAAUCAAAACCUUGCUGAGAAGCUGUGCACUACAGCCAAAGCAGUGGCGUCCAGGAGACAAGGUCUCAUAGUGUAUUCACAUUCAAUACCCACUGCACACGAUCCAAUUAGUUUCACAAGCAUUAAGUGAGAUGUAUUUCUUAAUGAAGCCUUUAAGCAAGGUUGGCCGUAUGUAUCCUAGAAGAGAGAUAAGCACGACUCUGCUGCUCUGAUGCGCCAUGGUGGAACGGCUUUCUGGGGUCAGCUACAUCCGCAUAUCUUCCAAGUUUACAUUUGUAAUCCAGAAAGAAGUAGUACAGAUAAAACCCGCACUGUCCUUCCGAGGAAACACUACAUUCUCUACCACUAGAGAAAGGAAAAGCAGCACACAAAAAGGUAACCACUACAGCCUCCUCGCCUCCAGCCCUGGAGAUUCUCUGCUAUUUCACUGGACCUAAGGAUGAACAUCAUGUAGCUCAGUACAUUUUUAUUAAACAUGAAUCUUUAUAUCCAACUUAAUUAAUGUGCUUUAAUGCAACCCCAGGAACCAGUCAGUAAGGCAGUACUGAGGUGCAGGCAUACUAAGGCAUUCCAAAGAAGUCCCCAUCUCUCUUCUUGCCUGAGUUUUCUUCUGCUCCAAAAUGUCCCCUGCACCGACCCUCCUGACCUCAGCAGGCCGCAGACCGGCAGCAAAAGAAACCCAGUCUGAACAGCUAAUGUGGCACUGUGAACAAUAAAUCUUAAUAACUAGUUAAAACACCAAAAGGACCAGAGGGCAAAUGUUCUGGACAUUUGGGGGUGGUCUUUGUAUGCUAAUUUACAUAAUUCUGUAAGUAACACAUUUCCCCGUUGCUAUAUUAUUAUACAACAGAGAAUCCUCAUAACAUCCUUCAAAGUGAUUUUUGUGUUAAGCAUCUUAGAAAGAGUAAUUCACUUUUAAUUAUAUUAGAUUACCUUAGAUAAAAAUCAGGUCAUGAUGAGGGAGAAGUCACAGCUCUGUAUAAAAGUGUGAUUUCAAGAUAUCCCUAUAUCUUUGGGAUCUGUCACUUUGAACCGGCCAUGCUACACACUCAGACCCUCCAGACGUCAUGGAGGAGCUGAGCUAAAUAAUCUCUCUGGCUGCUAUGAAAAUAUGCAACACUGGGGGAGAGAGAGAUAUGUUUAAAAUCUCUUGAAAAACAAAAGGCAUAAAAGGUUUAAUUGCUCAAAACAGAGUCAUUUAUUUUCUCUAAUUAAGAUUUAUUUGAAAUAAUCAUAUACAUGAUUAAUUUUCAGUCUUCCUAUCCCACAUAUGCACACAGUGCAAGACAGACAGCUUCAGGAAUGAAAGGCAAGCCUGGGCUACCAUGGAAUGACAAUCAUUAGACAAUAGAUGGUGGAGAUUAUUGUUCCAGAUGUUCCAGAUUCUGUUUUCACAGAAUUACUGGAUUCUGUGAAAGCCAGUUUACAACCAGGAAAAUAAUAAACCUGAUUAACUAGCUUCAGAAA
Molecule: non-coding RNA, 1543 nt
Organism: Rattus norvegicus (Norway rat)
Lineage: Eukaryota; Metazoa; Chordata; Mammalia; Rodentia; Muridae
Source: RefSeq, a predicted model, not a curated record